Molecule: ribosomal RNA, 360 nt
Filed under: Escherichia coli
Lineage: Bacteria; Pseudomonadati; Pseudomonadota; Gammaproteobacteria; Enterobacterales; Enterobacteriaceae
Description: bacterial SSU rRNA
Rfam family: Bacterial small subunit ribosomal RNA
Source: RNAcentral
AAAUUGAAGAGUUUGAUCAUGGCUCAGAUUGAACGCUGGCGGUAGGCCUAACACAUGCAAGUCGAACGGUAACAGGAAGAAGCUUGCUUCUUUGCUGACGAGUGGCGGACGGGUGAGUAAUGUCUGGGAAACUGCCUGAUGGAGGGGGAUAACUACUGGAAACGGUAGCUAAUACCGCAUAACGUCGCAAGACCAAAGAGGGGGACCUUCGGGCCUCUUGCCAUCGGAUGUGCCCAGAUGGGAUUAGCUAGUAGGUGGGGUAACGGCUCACCUAGGCGACGAUCCCUAGCUGGUCUGAGAGGAUGACCAGCCACACUGGAACUGAGACACGGUCCAGACUCCUACGGGAGGCAGCAGUGG